GAACGCUAGCGACAGGCUUAACACAUGCAAGUCGAGGGGCAGCACUGGUAGCAAUACCGGGUGGCGACCGGCGCUCGGGUGAGUAACGCGUAUGCAACUUGCUUAUCAGAGGGGGAUAACCCGGCGAAAGUCGGACUAAUACCGCAUGAAGCAGGGAUCCCGCAUGGGAAUAUUUGCUAAAGAUUCAUCGCUGAUAGAUAGGCAUGCGUUCCAUUAGGCAGUUGGCGGGGUAACGGCCCACCAAACCGACGAUGGAUAGGGGUUCUGAGAGGAAGGUCCCCCACAUUGGUACUGAGACACGGACCAAACUCCUACGGGAGGCAGCAGUGAGGAAUAUUGGUCAAUGGCCGAGAGGCUGAACCAGCCAAGUCGCGUGAGGGAUGAAGGUUCUAUGGAUCGUAAACCUCUUUUAUAAGGGAAUAAAGUGCGGGACGUGUCCCGUUUUGUAUGUACCUUAUGAAUAAGGAUCGGCUAACUCCGUGCCAGCAGCCGCGGUAAUACGGAGGAUCCGAGCGUUAUCCGGAUUUAUUGGGUUUAAAGGGUGCGUAGGCGGCCUUUUAAGUCAGCGGUGAAAGUCUGUGGCUCAACCAUAGAAUUGCCGUUGAAACUGGGGGGCUUGAGUAUGUUUGAGGCAGGCGGAAUGCGUGGUGUAGCGGUGAAAUGCAUAGAUAUCACGCAGAACCCCGAUUGCGAAGGCAGCCUGCCAAGCCAUUACUGACGCUGAUGCACGAAAGCGUGGGGAUCAAACAGGAUUAGAUACCCUGGUAGUCCACGCAGUAAACGAUGAUCACUAGCUGUUUGCGAUACACUGUAAGCGGCACAGCGAAAGCGUUAAGUGAUCCACCUGGGGAGUACGCCGGCAACGGUGAAACUCAAAGGAAUUGACGGGGGCCCGCACAAGCGGAGGAACAUGUGGUUUAAUUCGAUGAUACGCGAGGAACCUUACCCGGGUUUGAACGCAUUCGGACCGAGGUGGAAACACCUUUUCUAGCAAUAGCCGUUUGCGAGGUGCUGCAUGGUUGUCGUCAGCUCGUGCCGUGAGGUGUCGGCUUAAGUGCCAUAACGAGCGCAACCCUUGCCACUAGUUACUAACAGGUAAAGCUGAGGACUCUGGUGGGACUGCCAGCGUAAGCUGCGAGGAAGGCGGGGAUGACGUCAAAUCAGCACGGCCCUUACAUCCGGGGCGACACACGUGUUACAAUGGCGUGGACAAAGGGAGGCCACCUGGUGACAGGGAGCGAAUCCCCAAACCACGUCUCAGUUCGGAUCGGAGUCUGCAACCCGACUCCGUGAAGCUGGAUUCGCUAGUAAUCGCGCAUCAGCCAUGGCGCGGUGAAUACGUUCCCGGGCCUUGUACACACCGCCCGUCAAGCCAUGGGAGCCGGGGGUACCUGAAGUCCGUAACCGCGAGGAUCGGCCUAGGGUAAAACUGGUGACUGGGGCUAAG
RNAcentral lists this ribosomal RNA (1447 nucleotides) under uncultured organism. RNAcentral's name for it is "SSU rRNA". It matches the Rfam family "Bacterial small subunit ribosomal RNA". The record is from RNAcentral.